This 71-nucleotide transfer RNA is filed under the name Podarcis lilfordi (Lilford's wall lizard). RNAcentral describes it as "tRNA.Ile". The stretch from base 5 to 63 matches the Rfam family "tRNA", at positions 8 to 63 of the family's 71-position model. From Rfam's summary of the family: Transfer RNA (tRNA) molecules are approximately 80 nucleotides in length. Their secondary structure includes four short double-helical elements and three loops (D, anti-codon, and T loops). Further hydrogen bonds mediate the characteristic L-shaped molecular structure. tRNAs have two regions of fundamental functional importance: the anti-codon, which is responsible for specific mRNA codon recognition, and the 3' end, to which the tRNAs corresponding amino acid is attached (by aminoacyl-tRNA synthetases). tRNAs cope with the degeneracy of the genetic code in two manners: having more than one tRNA (with a specific anti-codon) for a particular amino acid; and 'wobble' base-pairing, i.e. permitting non-standard base-pairing at the 3rd anti-codon position. Lineage: Eukaryota; Metazoa; Chordata; Lepidosauria; Squamata; Lacertidae. The record is from RNAcentral.
GAUAUAGCUCAGUUGGUUAGAGCAUGGUGCUGAUAAUGCCAUGGUUGCAGGUUCGAUUCCCGUAUGGGACA